RNAcentral lists this long non-coding RNA (1512 nucleotides) under Aquilegia coerulea. RNAcentral's name for it is "long non-coding RNA (ACOE_LNC000319)". Lineage: Eukaryota; Viridiplantae; Streptophyta; Magnoliopsida; Ranunculales; Ranunculaceae. The record is from RNAcentral.
CAGGCUCAUGAAGUUACACUAGUUUUAUAUUAGAAUAAAUCGAGUUUCAAUUCUUCCACACUCACUAGCCACUUCAGAUGGUGCAAGGUAUGAGAGUAGAAAAUUUUUAUUUCAUGGUCGGAGUUUCUCUAAUAAGUAAUUCACUAUUCAACAUUUUUUACACAAAUACCCAGCUAAAGUUUCCACUUGAACCAACAUUCAGUUUUACUCAUAGCAGUUCCAAACCCUAAUAACAGCUUUACUACUAUAGUAUGUAACACGUGUCCAAGCUAUUUUCUAUUUAUUAUGUUGCACUGAACUGUGCUUGUUUCACUCUAAAAUUAGAGAAAGAAUCUUGGGAUAUAUUUAUCCAAAUUUUAUUUUGCAAUUUGUUUCCAAAAAUUAUCAUAAUAGUGUUUGAUUAGCUCCUAAGAAUAAUAGAGAAGAAAGGUGGGGACCGCAAUUUUGGAGAGAGAAAGAGGAGAAAGAGAAAGUAAGGACCACUAAAUAGACAAAAGAGAUGGUUUUCAAAGAAUUCCGGGUUAUUCAAAAUCGGAUUUAAAGCUGACGUGGUUUCACAGUUUUUGAAAAAGAUUCCUGUGGGGACCAGUUUUAAGUGAUGUUACCAAGCAUCCAAAAAAGGAAAAAACUGAGGAAAAUUUUGUUUUCCCGAUGUUUUGCAGGUAAACAAGCACAACCAAUCAUUUUAUUUAGAGUUAAUUAGCGAUUGCCCCCAGAUUUGAAAGCCAAAGUUGUGAAUGCCCCCAGAUUUUUUUUUGCUUAGUAAUGCCCCAUAGAUUUGCUUCCUUAUUCUUUUAAUACCAAAACUACCUUUUCAUUUUGCCUAGCCUUUACCCCCAACUCCAUAAAACCACUUUAACUACCAUGUAUGAAAGAAAUUGGUGGUUUUUGUUUUCAACAGUAGAUCUAGAUAAAAAUAAUCGCAGACAUCUCAAGGUUUAUCCUACGAUAAUAAAACAAAAACAACCAAUAACGUGAUGCCACAUGUAAAGUGCUUUACUUUACCAAAUUAAACCUACAAAUCUCUACUAAUUGAACAUCUUCUUCACCCCAUUCCAAUAGCAAAACCCUAACUAUCUUCACCCUUAUUUUCAAACCCUAUCUUCAUCACCUUGACCCCAUCAUUAUCUUUUUUAUGAUCUUAUCAAAUGGCAAGUAUCAUCACUUCUAAAGGUCAAAGGAGAUCCCAACGCCUAGUCUGUCACUAUUUCAAACCAAGGUGUAAUUGAUAUGGCACAAGAUUCUGGUGAAAUUGAGCAAUUGUUUCAAACUUAUAUACACUGAUAAGGUGAAUGGGGAAUAUAAGGUUUACAACGGUAACAUUCGAACACUUUGAUAUACAUACACGAUUGACCUUGAGAUUCGUAUUGAUAGAUCUUUAUGUUGUUGUUUGUUGUUAAAUUAACCUAGAGAUUGAUUUUAAAUCUAUAGUUGGAAAUAAAACCACCAAUUUCUUGCAUACAUGGCAGUUAAGAUAGUUUUAUAGAGUUGGAGGCAAAUGCUAAACAAAAU